CGGCGUGCCUAACACAUGCAAGUCGUACGAGAAAGUCGGCUUCGGCUGAUGAGUAAAGUGGCGCACGGGUGAGUAACGCGUGGAUAAUCUGCCCUUGAGUGUGGAAUAACGUACCGAAAGGUGCGCUAAUACCGCAUAAUGCCUGGCAACACAAGUUGUCCGGCCAAAGAAGGCCUCUGUUUACAAGCUUUUGCUCAAGGAUGAGUCCGCGUACCAUUAGCUAGUUGGUGGGGUAACGGCCUACCAAGGCUACGAUGGUUAGCUGGUCUGAGAGGAUGAUCAGCCACACUGGAACUGAGACACGGUCCAGACUCCUACGGGAGGCAGCAGUGAGGAAUAUUGCGCAAUGGGGGCAACCCUGACGCAGCAACGCCGCGUGAGUGAGGAAGGUUUCGGACUGUAAAGCUCUGUCGAGCGGGAAGAAAUGUACCAUGGCUAAUAUCCAUGAUAUUUGACGGUACCGCUAGAGGAAGCACCGGCUAACUCCGUG
This 490-nucleotide ribosomal RNA is filed under the name uncultured bacterium. RNAcentral describes it as "bacterial SSU rRNA". It matches the Rfam family "Bacterial small subunit ribosomal RNA", at positions 40 to 507 of the family's 1533-position model. The record is from RNAcentral.